This 655-nucleotide unclassified non-coding RNA is filed under the name Chelonus insularis. Its description in RNAcentral is "glutamic acid-rich protein-like, transcript variant X2". Lineage: Eukaryota; Metazoa; Arthropoda; Insecta; Hymenoptera; Braconidae. The record is from RNAcentral.
UCGUUCACGUGGACACGCUAUUCACAUUCCUUCCUAACAAAUCAAUUAAGUUUUGAGUUAAUCAUUAGUGCUAGUGCUAUUAAAAUCAUCAGAAACAUUCGCCAGUUCAUUCUGGAGUCAACUCGAGAAAUAUUUCAAGACAAUUCAAAAAUCGUUCAAAAAAUACAAAAAUAAUGCACAACUUCCGAAUACAUCAGCUUUUCCACCAAUCGGCUUUGAAAACACUGAAUACUCAACAGUCCACAUUGGACAUGAUAUAUGGAUUGACGCAGACACAUUUUACAUGGUGAUGGGACAUUCCUCUCCAACUAUUGUCAUUAGAGAUUUAUGUAGAGCUUUAUUUUCGACAUCCUUACCGCUGAGGAGCACGGUUUUAGGAAACCCGACUAAUAAAAAAAAAAAGAAAAAAUUAAAUUAAUGAACCUGUCCAAGGAUUAUCAUCGAUCAGACUACAUGCAAUAAGAGAUACAUUGGAAUAUUAUUUAAAUAAACGCCAUAAGGACAUGUCACAAUUUAAAAAAGAUGCUGUCUUGGGAAACGUAAGAACUGUAAUUUCAUCUCUCAUAUCGGAUUCGAAAAAAGAAGAAAAGAAAAAUAAAAUAACUGAAGAACAAGAAAGUACGGCUGGAGAAAAUAAAAAAAAUACAGGAAAAAA